This 363-nucleotide ribosomal RNA is filed under the name uncultured Pelotomaculum sp. RNAcentral's name for it is "bacterial SSU rRNA". It matches the Rfam family "Bacterial small subunit ribosomal RNA", at positions 1020 to 1382 of the family's 1533-position model. The record is from RNAcentral. Lineage: Bacteria; Bacillati; Bacillota; Clostridia; Eubacteriales; Desulfotomaculaceae.
CGGGUGACAGGGAGACAGGUGGUGCGAUGGUUGCGUCAGCUCGUGUCGUGAGAUGUUGGGUUAAGUCCCGCAACGGAGCGCAACCCCUACGUUUAGUUGCUAACGCGUGAAGGCGAGCACUCUAGACGAACUGCCGUUGACAAAACGGAGGAAGGUGGGAUGACGUCAAAUCAUCAUGCCCCUUAUGUUCUGGGCUACACACGUGCUACAAUGGCCGGUACAGACGGACGCAAAGCCGCGAGGCGGAGCAAAUCCGAAAAAGCCGGUCUCAGUUCGGAUUGCAGGCUGCAAUUCGCCUGCAUGAAGUCGGAAUCGCUAGUAAUCGCAGGUCAGCAUACUGCGGUGAAUACGUUCCCGGGCCUU